GCCGGGCGCGAUGGCCCACGCCUGUCAUCCCAGCCCUCGGGAGGCUGAGGCAGGAGGAUCGCGAGUUCAAAGCCAGCCUCAGCAACAGCGAGGCCCUAAGCAACUUAGUGAGACCCUGACUCUA
Molecule: small RNA, 124 nt
Filed under: Marmota monax (woodchuck)
Lineage: Eukaryota; Metazoa; Chordata; Mammalia; Rodentia; Sciuridae
Source: RNAcentral